This is a non-coding RNA of Vicia faba (fava bean), 204 nucleotides long. The record is from the annotation of a GenBank genome assembly. NCBI's taxonomy places the organism in Eukaryota, Viridiplantae, Streptophyta, Magnoliopsida, Fabales, Fabaceae.
AUGGCUGAUCAUUCAUCAAGCAAUGGAAACCAUGAAAUAGCUUUGAAUGUAAAUGGCGAUUCCUCCAAAAAUUGUGAAGAUAACUCAGAAUUUAAAGACCAUGUUCCUCUUUUGCAAAAGUUGGUGGCAGAAGUGGUGGGAACAUACUUCUUGAUAUUUGCUGGAAGUGCUGCAGUUGUUGUAACCUUGACAAUGACAAAGUGA